UACUGCGCGUGCUUACACAUGCAAGUCGAACGGGUUUCUGCGGGCUUUGCUUGCGGGUGAGAGUGGCGAACGGGUGAGUAAUGCGUGACCAACCUGCCCCAUGCUCCGGAAUAGCUCCUGGAAACGGGUGGUAAUGCCGGAUGUGCCGGGCUCCUGCAUGGGGGUCCGGGAAAGCUCUGGCGGCGUGGGAUGGGGUCGCGUCCUAUCAGCUUGUUGGCGGGGUGAGGGCCCACCAAGGCUUCGACGGGUAGCCGGCCUGAGAGGGCGACCGGCCACAUUGGGACUGAGAUACGGCCCAGACUCCUACGGGAGGCAGCAGUGGGGAAUAUUGCACAAUGGGCGCAAGCCUGAUGCAGCGACGCCGCGUGCGGGAUGGAGGCCUUCGGGUUGUAAACCGCUUUUGUUUGGGAGCAAGCCCUUCGGGGUGAGUGUACCUUUCGAAUAAGCACCGGCUAACUACGUGCCAGCAGCCGCGGUAAUACGUAGGGUGCGAGCGUUAUCCGGAUUUAUUGGGCGUAAAGGGCUCGUAGGCGGUUCGUCGCGUCCGGUGUGAAAGUCCAUCGCCUAACGGUGGAUCUGCGCCGGGUACGGGCGGGCUGGAGUGCGGUAGGGGAGACUGGAAUUCCCGGUGUAACGGUGGAAUGUGUAGAUAUCGGGAAGAACACCAAUGGCGAAGGCAGGUCUCUGGGCCGUUACUGACGCUGAGGAGCGAAAGCGUGGGGAGCGAACAGGAUUAGAUACCCUGGUAGUCCACGCCGUAAACGGUGGAUGCUGGAUGUGGGGCCCUUCCACGGGUCCCGUGUCGGAGCCAACGCGUUAAGCAUCCCGCCUGGGGAGUACGGCCGCAAGGCUAAAACUCAAAGAAAUUGACGGGGGCCCGCACAAGCGGCGGAGCAUGCGGAUUAAUUCGAUGCA
This 915-nucleotide ribosomal RNA is filed under the name Bifidobacterium sp. PFGE 8. Its description in RNAcentral is "bacterial SSU rRNA". It matches the Rfam family "Bacterial small subunit ribosomal RNA", at positions 38 to 958 of the family's 1533-position model. The record is from RNAcentral. Lineage: Bacteria; Bacillati; Actinomycetota; Actinomycetes; Bifidobacteriales; Bifidobacteriaceae.